ACUAUUCCCUUGGAUCUGGCUUCCCAAAGUCUUUUUGCUUUCACCUGGUCAGACCCAGAUACUCACACAUCUACCUAACUAACAGACUGUACUCCCACAGGGGUUCCGGGAUAGCCCCCUCCUAUUUGGGCAGGCUCUCACCAAGGAACUAAUCGAGCUUCCCCUUGCUCCUAGCAGCCUCCUUCAAUACAUCAAUGACCUCCUUAUGUGUAGUCCCUCCUUUGAUCUAUCCAUCAACACAUCACCCAACUUCUAAAUUUCCUCUAUGGCCAGGGAUAUCAGGUUUUACCUACAAAGGCUCAAGUAGCCCAAACCCAAGUCACUAACCUUGGACUCACCCUAACCCCUAAUUCUUGAGCCAUGCCAGCCCGAUGGAAGGAGCUAAUACAGGAUGUGCCCCUUCCCCACACCAAGAAGGACCCUUCCUUUUUGGGCCUUGUUGGGUACUUCCAGCUGUGGAUCAUUAACUUUGGCCUGUUGACCAAACCACUCUGCACGGCAUCACGUGGGUCCAUCCUAGAACAUUUGGACCCAGCUUGCCCAUUAACUCCCACUUCUAAAAACUGAAAGAUGCCCUUUUAAUGUCCCAGCACUAGGACUACCCAAUUCCAUUAAACCCUUUACCCUGUAUGUUCAUUGUAAUCAAGGCCUUGCCCUUGGAUUUCUCUGCCAAACCCGUGGCAACACUCCAGAAGCCAUUGCAUACUUCUGAAAACUGGACUCUAUCAUCCAAGGCUGGCCUCCAUGCUUGAAAGUUCUGGAUGCAGCUACAUUGCUGGCCUCAGAGGCACAAAAACUCACCCUCUACCAGCACAUUACUAUUGCAUCUUCCCAUAACUUAUGGGACCCCAUGAGCCAUUGAUCUCUUCUUUUCCUCCUGCCAUCCAGCUUACAGCAACCCUCUAACACCUUCCAGAGAUGUAAAAUUCUAAAUCCAACCACCCUCCUCCCUAUAAGUACUUCCAAUUCUGAAUCCCCCACUCUUGCCUAGACCUCUUAGCCUCCCUCUCCUCCCCUUUCCAACACAUUUCAGAAGCCCCUUUGCGGAAGGAACCCACAUGGUUCAUUGAUGGAAGCUCUUUUAAGGAACCAUAUCUGGCAGCUGGCUAUGCCAUCAUUGCCGAAAACAAACUCCUAUAAUCCAAUGCUCUCUCAUCACAUAUCACCUCACAACAAGCGGAACUAUUUGCCCUAACCAAGACCCUCACUCUAGCAAAGGGAAAGAGGGUCAACAUUUACACCAAUUCCAAAUAUGCAUACCAUGUCCUACAGUCUCACACUGUAAUCUGGCAGGAAAGGGGUUUUUCUAACUACAAAAAGAACCGCCAUAAUAAAUGGCAAACUCAUACACAAGCCGCUGGAGGCAGCUAAACUACCACUAGAGGCCGUCAUUAUCCAUUGCAAGGGACACCAAAAGGCUACAGAUGCCAUAACCAAGGGAAACUUCUUAGCAGAUUCGGCAGCCUGGCAGGCAGCCCUUAGAACACUAUUGUUAUUGCCCAUUUUCCCUAGCAUACACCCAAGAAGAAAAAGGUGCCUUGCUGGCUCCAGGGCUGUUCAUAACGAAAGCUGAAUUUACUUAGACUACAAACUCAUCCUACCCAAGACCCAAAAACUUUCUGUUCUCACCCACAUCCAUAACCAAUUCCAUGCGGGUUAUCUCCCGUUGCUCCAAUUUCUAAAAACCUGUAUACAUUCCCUUACCAUGGCCAUCAGCUUGGACCGCCUCACUAAAGGUUGCUCUGCCUGCAGUCAGACUUCCCCUCAGGGGCCCUUAGACCACCUCCUUUUCCCUCCCUUCAGGCCCAAAGGCCAGUUGCCGGGACAGGAUUGGCAAAUUGACUUCACUCAUACGUUCCCCCAUAAAGAAAGUCUGAUAUCUCCUCACGAUGGUAGAUACCUUUUCAGGUGGAUAGAAGCCUUUCUUACUACCACUGAAAAGGCACACACCAUUGCCUCUACCUUCCUCACACACAUCAUCCUUUGAUUCAGCCUCCCCUCAUCUAUACAACUGGACAAUUGACCAGCAUUUAUCUCCCAAGUCACUCAACAGGUUUCUAAGUCUUUAAACAUCAUAUGGGUUUUUCACAUUCUCUAUCACCCCCAAUCCUCGGGUAAAUUUGAACAGGCGAAUGCCCUCUUAAAACAACAGUUAACCAAACUUUCCCUAGAGAUCAAAAUGAAAACUGAAUAUCACUUCUUCCCUUGGCCCUUAUGUGCCUCAGGGCCCUCCCCCGAAAACCUCUAAAUCUAAGUCCUUUUGAACUUUUGUAUGGACGUUCUUUCGUCCUACAGAACUUUGCUCCAUCCCCUCCCUUACAGGACACCUGGCCAGCACUGCACCUCACUCAACACUUAGUCCGACAGUACACUGACACUCACCUCCCCAAACCUGAGGAUUCUUCCCAAUUCACUUUCUUACCCUUACAGCCAGGAGACUGGGUCUGGGUAGCACACCCCUCCUCCCCUUUCCAACAAAAUGGAAGGGUCCCUAUCAGGUUAUAUUCACCAUCCCCGCUGCUGCAAAGUUAACAUCCUUUCCCUAUUGUAUACACCAUUCCAAAUUUAAAAAGGCACCCGGCCCACACCCCGAAGUCUCCUCACCCCGGAAAUAUUCUUCCUUUCCCACAGGACCAACCUCGCUGUGCCUAACAAGAAUUCCAGAAGUCACCCAUCCGAAAGGCACUGGCCCAUGACACUCUCCACUUCCAAUCUUAAAUCUUUUACUUCAUACCUUGUCUCAGAUCUCUCCUGGUACCCCUUCCCCACGCCCUUAGAUAAUCCAUCUCAAUUCCUCAUGCUAAUUGAGGAGCUAUGGCUGCAAGGCACCUUCCAGGAUUUCACACCUACACAAAUCUCCUUUUUCUCCUUUUGCCUUCUCUGCUUAUGGGAUAUUCUGAGUCCCCACCCCCAAUCACUGACAGCUGGGCCCCCUUCAUCAGCCUCACACACCACGUAUUAAGUCAGUCACAAUCUCCCCUCUCCUCUAACUGCUGGAUUUGUCUUUCUACACACACCCAAUGAUUCACGGCUCUUCCGGCUGACCUACUUACAUGGACACAGUCCAACGUGAGCUUACACAUUUCUUACUUGGCUAUACCAUUCUUGGCUGAUUCAUUCCUGAAACCGGUUCAUAACCUGGAAACUCAGCUAAACACCUUUCCUUCAAACUCAGCUCUCUCAGCAUGGUUUCAGGUAGGGCUGUUGCCCUCCUUCACCUAAUAGCUUCUGGACUAACAUCCAUACAAACCAACACAGCAUCAUCUAAACCACCAAUAUGGGGGUACCAUUUCUACUCAAACUUCCUUCAUAUCCCCACCCCCCUUAUGUCUCAGCCGAACCUACCCUAAUCCAGCCCACGCCACAAUGGUGGGACAGGUUCCCCAGUCCCUAUGUGGUCUUAUUUUUACCCUUGCACUCCCUGUAGACCAUCAAUUCUACACCCUAAUUACAAAAUCAUAUCCACCUCUGCCUGGCAGAAGGUGUUAUGCUUUUCUGGCUCGCCUACCAUCCACACAUCCCUACACCUCACCACCGGAUCCUCUUUUCUUUCCUUCCAUCCAAUUCCUGGCUUCCCCGCUGCCAACUCUGCUCUCUAUGUCUCCAGUUUAAAGGUGCCCCCUGGAAAAAAUGUAACAAUUCCCUCACCUGUGACUGGUACCUGACAGCCACCACACCGGGGCAGCAAUGGCUAACGGUUGACAAAGACAAUUUCUUUCUCUCUCCAAAACCAAACAGCCUUCAUCAACUCCCUAGCCAAGACUCCCUAUCAGGCCCUUACAGGUGCCGCUCUGGCUGGCAGUUACCCAAUUUGGGAAAACGAAAAUACCCUAUCAUGGCUACCUACCUUCACCUACAACUUCUGCCUGUCCACCCCCAGUCUCUUCUUUUUGUGUGAUACAAACUGAUAUCUUUGCCUACCAGCCAACUGGUCAGGAACUUGCACCCUGGUCUUUCAGGCUCCAACCAUCAACAUCCUACCCCCUAACCAAACUAUUCUAAUUUCUGUAGAAGCCUCUAUCUCCUCUUCACCCAUAAGAAAUAAAUGGGCUCUACAUCUCAUCACCCUGCUAACAGGAUUAGGCAUCACUGCUGCACUUGGCACUGGAAUAGCAGGCAUAACCACCUCAAUCACCUCAUACCAAACACUAUUCACAACCCUUUCUAACACCGUAGAAGAUAUGCACACUUCCAUUACCAGUCUCCAACGACAAUUAGACUUCCUCGUGGGAGUCAUCCUUCAAAACUGGAGAGUCCUGGACCUCCUAACCACUGAGAAAGGGGGUACCUGCAUAUACCUCCAGGAAGAAUGCUGUUUCUGUGUUAAUGAAUCUGGCAUUGUUCAUAUCGCAGUUCGUAGGCUUCAUGACAGGGCUGCAGAGCUUUGACAUCAAGUCGCUGACUCCUGGUGGCAAGGAUCAUCCCUUCUAAGAUGGAUACCCUGGGUUGCCCCCUUCCUAGGACCCCUGAUCUUCCUCUUCCUGUUACUAAUGAUUGGGCCAUGCAUAUUUAACCUUGUAUCCCGCUUCAUUUCCCAAAGGCUGAAUUGUUUUAUCCAGGCAAGCAUGCAAAAACACAUUGAUAAUAUAUUUCACCUUUGCCACGUCUAAUACCAGAGCCUACGAGGAAACCAUUCGGAAGCUCCAGAACCCAGGCCCUAAUCACAACGCCCCUAUCCAGCAGGAAGCAGCCAGAUGAUCAACGACGCCCUUUUUCCUUUUUAUACUAAAGUAAGAAAUAAGAAUGUUAGCCCAAACUGCACUAUUUUGCAGACCCCUACCAUUUUACAAACUGGUCAGAGUGGAAAAUUCCACCAGGGCCUGAGCUGUGAGAAACAUCCUGUCAGGCAGGUCCCAGGCCUAACCCCUGGCUGCACUAAAUUCCUUCAUUAUCAGCAGCCAAACACACCGCCCCCACCCCAUUUUCACAACAAUCCCAGACCUCUCCUGCCCGGGACUGUAACUGGUCCAGCCUGUAAGCGGGAAGGGGGCUCUGGCACUAGCUGGUACCCCCUCUCCGCAGGUCUUUCUCCCAAUAAAUCUGUGUUGCCAUU
Molecule: long non-coding RNA, 5053 nt
Organism: Homo sapiens (human)
Lineage: Eukaryota; Metazoa; Chordata; Mammalia; Primates; Hominidae
Product: long intergenic non-protein coding RNA 1278
Source: Ensembl